Carassius auratus (goldfish) is the source of this 155-nucleotide long non-coding RNA. RefSeq lists it as uncharacterized. The transcript has 3 exons. Lineage: Eukaryota; Metazoa; Chordata; Actinopteri; Cypriniformes; Cyprinidae. The record is from RefSeq and is a predicted model, not a curated record.
CUGAAGUAUAAAAACCUUUGUCUAUGGUGAAUGUAGCCAUAUGGAGUUGUAUUUAUAAAGCUGGUCUAUCUGCCUCUGAUUAUCAUGACGACUGACAAACAAGAAUAUCAGAUGCACAGGAACAGAUCCCUACAGGAUACGGGUAAUGGAAAGCU